UGUGGGGGUCUUGGAACUUGUAGCCACGAACACCAACCUCUGCUGAGUGGACCAAUCAGAGGCGCUUCCUAUGCGGAACAGAAUCAGUUGGCCAAUCAGCGUUCUGUCUGCCAACGUUGGCUGGCGUGUGACGUCAUUGAUCAUUACCUGCAAUGCGGGGAGUAGCACGACAGAGAGACGAAGUCGAAAAAUUAGUGAAAAUACCGAGUAAAAGCAGCCUUUGAGUCUUCGCAUCGUCGUGUCGGUUUGUUUGCACUGUGAGGAAACUGAUUACUGAAGAAGUCUGGAGGCUAAAAACAAGCGUUGGAGCUGUAUUUGUCGAAGAAGAGUGAGGCUGGACGCCGAACACACCUGCAGCGCGAAGGUCUACUUCUUGGGUUUCUGCAGCCCAGAUGGAAAGACCAGUUCUCACCUUACACACCAAAGAGACUCAAACUUCAACCAGGAAACACUUCAGCUCACAGAGGGGAGAGACAUGAAGAUUUACAGGUGAUUUCACAGACACAACUGGAUUUGCUGAAGGAGGAGGAGGAGGGGAAGAUGACGUCAGCAGCACAAAUGAAGGUCUGGACCUGAAGUGGAAGAACAGUUAUGAAGCUGUUAAUGAGACAGAUACAUUUUUUAAAUGACAGAGUAUUCAUCUGAAACUUAGUAACCUCCAGCAUCUCCUGUUCCCUGCUGUUCAAGUGGAGACACUUUGUUUUAACUUCCCACCUGCUAAGUAACAACACUAUAAUGUAGUUAUGGGCACAUUU
Molecule: long non-coding RNA, 755 nt
Organism: Lates calcarifer (barramundi perch)
Lineage: Eukaryota; Metazoa; Chordata; Actinopteri; Centropomidae
Exons: 5
Source: RefSeq, a predicted model, not a curated record